GGGCCAGUAGCGCAGUUGGGAGCGCGCAUGAAUGGCAUUCAUGAGGUCACCGGUUCGAUCCCGGUCUGGUCCACCA
This 76-nucleotide transfer RNA is filed under the name Acidobacteria bacterium RIFCSPLOWO2_02_FULL_65_29. RNAcentral describes it as "tRNA-Ala". It matches the Rfam family "tRNA". From Rfam's summary of the family: Transfer RNA (tRNA) molecules are approximately 80 nucleotides in length. Their secondary structure includes four short double-helical elements and three loops (D, anti-codon, and T loops). RNAcentral also lists the same sequence under 12 other names. The record is from RNAcentral. Lineage: Bacteria; Pseudomonadati; Acidobacteriota.